ACGGAAGGCAGCAGUGGGGAAUAUUGGGCAAUGGGCGAAAGCCUGACCCAGCGACGCCGCGUGAGGGAAGAAGGUCUUCGGAUUGUAAACCUCUUUCAGCAGGGAAGAAGCAAGUGACGGUACCUGCAGAAGAAGUCACGGCUAACUACGUGCCAGCAGCCGCGAUAAUACGUAGGUGGCGAGCGUUAUCCGGAAUUACUGGGUGUAAAGGGUGUGUAGGCGGAGAAGCAAGUCAGGCGGGAAAUUUAUGGGCUCAACCCAUAAACUGCGCUUGAAACUGUUUCCCCUGAGAGUGGGAGAGGUAAACGGAAUUCCUGGUGUAGUAGUGAAAUGCGUAGAUAUCAGGAGGAACACCGGUGGCGAAGGCGGUUUACUGGACCACAACUGACGCUGAGACACGAAAGCGUGGGGAGCAAACAGGAUUAGAUACCCUGGUA
RNAcentral lists this ribosomal RNA (437 nucleotides) under uncultured Nakamurella sp. RNAcentral's name for it is "partial 16S ribosomal RNA". It matches the Rfam family "Bacterial small subunit ribosomal RNA", at positions 341 to 792 of the family's 1533-position model. The record is from RNAcentral. Lineage: Bacteria; Bacillati; Actinomycetota; Actinomycetes; Nakamurellales; Nakamurellaceae.